RNAcentral lists this ribosomal RNA (508 nucleotides) under uncultured bacterium. RNAcentral describes it as "partial 16S ribosomal RNA". It matches the Rfam family "Bacterial small subunit ribosomal RNA", at positions 28 to 507 of the family's 1533-position model. The record is from RNAcentral.
GACGAACGCUGGCGGCGUGCCUAAUACAUGCAAGUCGAACGCUUCUUUCCUCCCGAGCGCUUGCACUCCAUUGGAAAGAGGAGUGGCGGACGGGUGAGUAACACGCGGGUAACCUACCCAUCAGAGGGGGAUAACACUUGGAAACAGGUGCUAAUACCGCAUAACAGUUUAUGCCGCAUGGCAUAAGAGUGAAAGGCGCUUUCGGGUGUCGCUGAUGGAUGGACCCGCGGUGCAUUAGCUAGUUGGUGAGGUAACGGCUCACCAAGGCCACGAUGCAUAGCCGACCUGAGAGGGUGAUCGGCCACACUGGGACUGAGACACGGCCCAGACUCCUACGGGAGGCAGCAGUAGGGAAUCUUCGGCAAUGGACGAAAGUCUGACCGAGCAACGCCGCGUGAGUGAAGAAGGUUUUCGGAUCGUAAAACUCUGUUGUUAGAGAAGAACAAGGACGUUAGUAACUGAACGUCCCCUGACGGUAUCUAACCAGAAAGCCACGGCUAACUACGUG